Molecule: small RNA, 434 nt
Filed under: Arabidopsis thaliana (thale cress)
Lineage: Eukaryota; Viridiplantae; Streptophyta; Magnoliopsida; Brassicales; Brassicaceae
Description: ATSL034520
Source: RNAcentral
UUUAUUUGACUAAUUAUAAGAGUUAGAGAUGGAUUAAGAGUGUUAGACAACACUUAUACCCAUUUUCUCCCAAAAGAGGCUAAAACCAACAAAAAAUUGCUUAGAAGCAGUAAAUAGUUUUGUUAGUGUUUUUAUGGUCAAAAUGUGUAAGAAUCCAAUGCAUUUGACUAAUUAUAAGAGUUAGAGAUGGAUUAGGAGUUUUUAGACAAUACUUAAUACCUAUUUUCUCCCAAAAGAGGCUAAAACCAACAAAACAUUGCUUAGAAGCAGUAAACACUUUUGUUAGUGUUUUUAUGGUCAAAAUGUGUCAGAAUCCAAUGCAUUUGACUAAUCAUAAGAGUUAGAGAUGGAUUAGGAGUGUUUAGACAACACUUAUACCCAUUUUGUCCCAAAAGAGGCUAAAACCAACAAAAAAUUGCUUAAAAGCAGUAAAU